RNAcentral lists this ribosomal RNA (253 nucleotides) under uncultured bacterium. RNAcentral's name for it is "partial 16S ribosomal RNA". It matches the Rfam family "Bacterial small subunit ribosomal RNA", at positions 524 to 776 of the family's 1533-position model. The record is from RNAcentral.
UACGUAGGGUGCAAGCGUUAAUCGGAAUUACUGGGCGUAAAGCGUGCGCAGGCGGUUAUGCAAGACAGAGGUGAAAUCCCCGGGCUCAACCUGGGAACUGCCUUUGUGACUGCAUGACUAGAGUACGGUAGAGGGGGAUGGAAUUCCGCGUGUAGCAGUGAAAUGCGUAGAGAUGCGGAGGAACACCGAUGGCGAAGGCAGCCCCCUGGGCUAACACUGACACUCAGGCACGAAAGCGUGGGGAGCAAACAGG